GCUGGGCGUGGUGGCGCGGACCUAUAAUCCCAGGACUGGGGAGGCUGAGGCAGGAGGAUUGCAAGUUUGAGGCCAGCCUCAGCAGCUUCGUGAGAUCUUGUCUCAA
RNAcentral lists this small RNA (106 nucleotides) under Marmota monax (woodchuck). The record is from RNAcentral. Lineage: Eukaryota; Metazoa; Chordata; Mammalia; Rodentia; Sciuridae.